GAUUUUGUGUCUCUCCAAUGCUGUUUUGCCUAAGAUGUUGGAGGUGGUGCGGGGCCAAGCGGCCAUUAGUUUCAGCAGCUCCUUUUCGUUGUCGGUGUCCCAUGAUGUCACACUUUUUAAGUUUUCCUCCGCACAUAGGAGAUCAUCAGGAGUCACAGCCCGUACUCCCCGCGUGCGACGUCCAAGGUGGCUCCUGUGGCUUUUAAGAAGUCCAGCCCCACGAUCAGAGGGAAAGCCAGCCAUCACAAACUUCUGAGGAGAAGGAACAUCACACCUGACUUCCCGUUCGCAGAGCUGCCUCCAUAGAUGUUCCCUCAUCAACGUGUAGGAGCUUCCUGUAUCGACCACAGCAUUCACCUUCCUUCCUUGCACUGUUACUGGAACCAGGAGAAGCGAAGGAGUUGCCAGAGGUUGAGCAAUGGAGAGUCCCGCUGCGUGUUUUGAAAGAACUCGCUCACCUGCCUUCUUAUGACUCUUUUCCUUGUUGUGCUGGGAGUCCACCUUCUGCCAAUAGUCUUUGGAGCUCUUGCAGUCUUUUUCCACCCUAGAACCUAUCUUCACAAGCUGUUCCACGGUGUUCACUGUUCCUCUUAGACAUCCUGCCACUCUUGGGUUGAUGUUAUUCAGGAUUCGCCCCACUAGUUCUUCCUCGGAGAUAUCAGGCUUCCACUUCAUACAGAGGGCGCGGUAGUCAUAGGCGAAGUCUCUAAGGCGUUGACUGGGCUGCUGUACCAGAGACCUUAAGUUUUCUUCCACUUCUGUGAGGUAGUCAUCAGGUAAGAAAGCCGCCAUAAAUGCCUGUUUAAAAGACUUCCAGUCCUUCACCUUGCCUUUCUCUGCCUUCCACCAGCUCAGAGCAGGUCCUCGUAGCACCGUGCUGAGGGUUCCUAGCAGUUCUGGGCUGGGCAGUGGUCUGAUCUCCAGAUAGUUUUCACACUGUUCAAUGAAGUUAAGAACAUCCGCUGUCUCUGAAGCGUCGCCAAAGGCUGGAAACUCCAGGCGGAUGGGUGGUCGGCCAUAAAAGGAAGAAGAAGAGGGUGAAACUGAGGAGGAAAGCUGAGCAGAAGCGUGUGGUUGGACACAAGGAGGAAUGUCGUAUGUUUCAUGACUGCUUAUGUGCUUUACCUUUGCCGUAGAUGCUGUGAUCGCCGUGCUGGGAGAAUGUAGAACAGGAGAUUGCGGAGAUGCAGGGGUGUAGGCCUUUAACCUUUGGAUGGUGGGCGUACUUGUGAGCCGUAGUUUUUUCAUCUGGUUUUCCCAGAUUACGUCACGUCUCAGAAAACAGUCAGUGACAGCUCUUUCCAGUUUCUCCAGGGCCUUUUGGCAGUAGCGCUCCAGCCCCUCUAAGCUGGCGUCCACUGCGUCCCGAAAACUGCUUUCUCUGUUCAAACUGCUGUUUAUGGAUUGUCUAAAAUCCUGCUCCAACGUGUUCACUUUAUCAGUAAGCGCCCCCAUAUCCUCUUUGCAUUGAUUCAGUUCAGUUUGCAAUGUAUGCACAACAUUAAUAUCAGACACAACAUCAUCAUCAUCAUCAUCAUGUCUGUCAGAUAUAUAUAGUGAACUAAUCAAUGAGGUUAUUUCAGCUGUAGGGUUACGGCGUGUGGCAAAUGCAUCAUCUACAUCCUCCAGCACAUUAUUAGCUACAGCAAGGUCGGCCUGCACGGCACCACUAGCAUUAGCAUUAGCAAUGUUAGCAUCCAUUUUGUUCUGCCAAGACACACAAAACCGGAAAAUACCCGAAAAUACCGA
Clarias gariepinus (North African catfish) is the source of this 1749-nucleotide long non-coding RNA. RefSeq lists it as uncharacterized. NCBI's taxonomy places the organism in Eukaryota, Metazoa, Chordata, Actinopteri, Siluriformes, Clariidae. The transcript has 3 exons. The record is from RefSeq and is a predicted model, not a curated record.